This is a long non-coding RNA of Patiria miniata (bat star), 1092 nucleotides long. RefSeq lists it as uncharacterized. NCBI's taxonomy places the organism in Eukaryota, Metazoa, Echinodermata, Asteroidea, Valvatida, Asterinidae. The record is from RefSeq and is a predicted model, not a curated record. The transcript has 3 exons.
UACAUGUAUUGGUCAGUUCUCCCCAAUUGCCACAUCACCAUUCCCAAACGAGUCAGCACCAAGCAGGGCUGCUGCCUAUGCUGCUUCAUCCCAUUGUUAUAUCUUGAGCUAAAAUAUUCAGUUUCUUGUAAACAUCACCUGGUUCUUCUGCAUAUAUACGCCGGAAUGGUGGCCCCCUUUUCAUAGUGACUUCCAUUUUGACUGCACGCAAGUGGAUGUUUUCUACUUAAGGCAGAGACGAUCUCUACAGACUUCGUUGCAGGUCUAUCAUUCCUGUCCUGCUAUGCAUCUUCUCAAUUUGGAGUACCAAGCCUAACCUGUCACUACGUUAUUCGUACAAAGAUGCUUCAUGAGAAUCAGUCUGGAAUCCGGCACCAAAUGCACCAGAAGAGGGGAAAUCAAACGCACAGGUCAGGACGUUCACAGGAAGAGAGAAAUGAUCAAUUGCCAUGUUGCAACAUUUUGUUUGCAAACUUGUGGACUUGACUAUAUUGUUGAAAGAUCUAAAAAAAAAAAAUGAAUGCAAUAGAUAAACUUUGAUGAGAGUAUCAAGAGAUCAAACAGUUUUACUCCAUGUGAAUCCUUUGUUUACCAAAUUGAGUCACUUAAAGAUACAAGAUCUAUUACCUGCGCCUGAUUUUACCUUGAAAAAAAUAUAGUACUAUUUCUGUAUGACCUAUAAAGUAAAAAGCCUUCAGAUGCGACUCGCCAAAUGAAAACCAUCCACGGAUAAACCCACAACUAUCUAGAAAAUGUGCUAGUAUAUCCACUCAUUAAAUUAAUAAAAAAUGAUAACAUAGAUAUUAUCACAGAAAAUUGUUGUAACACUUAGAAUGGCCUUGUCUAGUACUUAGGUAACUUUUGCCAAAUAAUUUCACAUAUUCAAAUGCAAUUGAGUAGAGAGUUCCAAAAAAUGCAAGGAGUUUUGUAAAAGGAUAAUGUUUGUACACUUAAAAGAUAAUUAAAAACAAAGUACCAGCUUAUAGUGGGCCGCAAAGUUAAAUACCGGUAUGUGGGUUGUUUCCACUGUACUUGGAAUAACAAAUGAUUUUGAACAACCAAUUCAAUUGAAGAAUAGAAAGAUGUCUAAUU